UACGUAGGGCGCAAGCGUUGUCCGGAAUUAUUGGGCGUAAAGAGCUCGUAGGCGGUUUGUCGCGUCUGCUGUGAAAACCUAAGGCUCAACCUUGGGCUUGCAGUGGGUACGGGCAGACUAGAGUGCGGUAGGGGUGACUGGAAUUCCUGGUGUAGCGGUGGAAUGCGCAGAUAUCAGGAGGAACACCGAUGGCGAAGGCAGGUCACUGGGCCGCAACUGACGCUGAGGAGCGAAAGCAUGGGGAGUGAACAGG
Molecule: ribosomal RNA, 253 nt
Filed under: uncultured bacterium
Lineage: Bacteria
Description: partial 16S ribosomal RNA
Rfam family: Bacterial small subunit ribosomal RNA
Source: RNAcentral